Molecule: long non-coding RNA, 691 nt
Organism: Carya illinoinensis
Lineage: Eukaryota; Viridiplantae; Streptophyta; Magnoliopsida; Fagales; Juglandaceae
Exons: 2
Source: RefSeq, a predicted model, not a curated record
CCAAAAGGCAAGUUAGCUUUUUUCAUCUUGAACCCGUAGGCUUCUAAGGCAAGAAAAGAAGAAAAAUUUUCUCAAGCACUCAAGUUCCUCACCGUGCGACACUACUACCCUUCUCUCCUAUUUCCAUUAUUUUUCCAAUCUUAAGCCAAGCACCCAUUAUUUCUUCUUCUCAAGUGAAAAAUAACAAGGUAAUGACAAAGAGGCUAGGGAGCAGGGCAUUACUGCAAGAGGGAGAGGCAGACACUUAGUGUCUCCCCUGUUGGUUCAACCUUACAUGGAUGAUGGGUUAUGUCUAUCGAUGUUGUUUUUAUGUUGGGAUGAGUCCCUUGUCUACUUCAUGUAUUUCCUCUACACUUAUUUCCUUACAUCGCCAUGAGUGUACACGCCGACACCAUAUGUGCAACAUCGGACCAUCGUUGGGGGUAUUGAACCACGCCGUUCGAGGCUUAGAUCACCUUAGUGGGCCGGGAAUGACUAUUUCUCUCCUUUCAGCAUGUUGUACAAUUUUUAGAAUAUCAACAGUGGCGUUUUCUGUGAAAUCUGAUCACUUUCUAAAUUGGAGGUGGGAGAAUGAUGCUUUUCUGAUACACUAAAUAAUCAUCGAGUGGGUGGAGAGAAGUCUCCUAGAUAAGUGUUCUUGAACUUGCGACUUUUAUUUUUAUAAAUAUUAUAUAUAUAUAUAUUGAAGCAA